UACGUAGGGGGCUAGCGUUGUCCGGAUUUAUUGGGCGUAAAGAGCGUGUAGGCGGCCAGAUAGGUCUGCUGUGAAAACUCGAGGCUCAACCUCGAGCUGUCGGCGGAAACCAUUUGGCUAGAGUCCGGAAGAGGAGAGUGGAAUUCCUGGUGUAGCGGUGAAAUGCGCAGAUAUCAGGAAGAACACCUAUGGCGAAGGCAGGUCUCUGGGACGGUACUGACGCUGAGACGCGAAAGCGUGGGGAGCGAACAGG
Molecule: ribosomal RNA, 253 nt
Filed under: uncultured bacterium
Lineage: Bacteria
Description: partial 16S ribosomal RNA
Rfam family: Bacterial small subunit ribosomal RNA
Source: RNAcentral